ACUAGAUUUGUAAAGUUAGUCAAGACAAACUUUGAUGUUGGCUUUGACGAUGCAAGUAUUCGCAAAGGACGGUGCUUUUGGAGGCAAGUGGACAUAAGGGUUAGUGUUGCUUUUGGAGGCAAGUGGACAGAAAGCUAGGGUGACAAAACAUUUGGAGAGUUCCGGAGCACCUCGUUUUGUGCCGACAGAAAUGCAGCUCUGUGUGUUAAGACUUGUGGUGGUUGUGUGUGUUUACAUCAACAUGGAAUGGCGCAAGAACUCUUAGGUGGACUUGGCAACAAGAGGGGAAAACAUGCUGGAUCUUGUUUACUCAAAUAUUCCUGGUGCGUACCGUGUGGAGCCCCGCCCCCACCUCGGCUACUCAGACCACAUCCUGACUACAUUCUACAGAGGUACCAUUGAGAGCAUUCUGAGCAGCUGCAUCACUGUCUGGUUUGGGAACUGCACCAUCGCAAGACCCUGCAGCGGAUAGUGAGGACAGCUGAGAAGAUCAUUGGAGUCUCUCUUCCCUCUAUCAUGGACACUUACACCACACGCUGCAUCCGCAAAGCCAACAGCAUUGUGGACCUCACACACCCCUCACACACACUCUUCACCCUCCUGCCUUUUGGAAAAAGGUACCAAAGCAUUCGGGCCCUCACGACCAGACUGUGUAACAGUUUCUUUUCACAAGCCAACAGCCUCCUCAAUAACUGAACUGAACUGUACUGAGCACAACACACACACACACACACACACACACACACACACAUCAACUGUAUAAACUGCACUGACCUACACCAAAUACACACUCUUCCAAUAUACAUCCAUGUAU
This is a long non-coding RNA of Tachysurus vachellii, 814 nucleotides long. RefSeq lists it as uncharacterized. NCBI's taxonomy places the organism in Eukaryota, Metazoa, Chordata, Actinopteri, Siluriformes, Bagridae. The record is from RefSeq and is a predicted model, not a curated record. The transcript has 3 exons.